ACCUCCAAUUGGCCUGACCUACUGCUGUCUUCCUGAGUUUUGAAAUAACCAUUCCCUAUGGUUUGAGGGAGCCUCAGGGAUCAACAGCAUGGAGCAACAUGAUUGAGGGUCUACAAUACAAUAGAGACAAAGAGGAUAAUCAGAUAAGUAACAUUGGUACACAAUAAAAAAGUCAGUAUUGAUAAAUUAUGGCCAUGUCAAUAUCUUGUAAAGCAGACAGACCUUGAUUACACUCUCCUUUCUGUCUCACUCAUUUAGAUUUUGUUUGUUCUCUUCAAGAAAAAUCUGGCAGAGAUGCCUCCUGGCAUCUUGGAGGGUAACCAUUGUACCCCCCUUCACUCUUACAUUUGAGCUCCUCAUCCUUGUGAGUGAGAGGAUGGUCGGCAUGAUUCCAAAGUCACCCCAAACCAGAAAGGAAACUAUUUCAAUUUAGAACAUUAAAAUAUAUAUAUAUAUAUAUAUCCACAGGGGCUCCAGGAGUUAACUUCUACUUUCAAUGACCUAUUUUGAAAUGAGGCUGCCUUUCUAGGGGGCUGUCCUAAUGAAGGUCAGCCAAGAAAGCCAGCAACCAGCCUGGCCUUUAGAUUUUAGUAGCAAACAGUCAGGGGGUCCAAGCUCCAGGAUGAGAAGAUUGAAAACAUCUAGUCUUUUAAUUUUUAAUGGGUAGGUACUUGAUUCUUUCUUCCAACAGAAUGAAGGGAUCUUUAAAAAGUGAGUUAAGGGAGCUGGCUUUCUUUAUGCUGUUCAAUGCUUUAUAGAAGGCCCAGCAUUGAAUGUUAUAAAAACCUUUUUUGCUUGGUGUCAGCUCUUUCUUAAUGAUCAUUCAUGCCAGUGAGAUGCCCACCCAGAUGGACCUGGCCUACUUAGUUUACCUGAAGAGCGUGGACAUGCACAAGGUCCCGUGCUGAGAUGUUGGUCUUCUGCGAGGAGCCCCCGUGGCAGCAUUGCAGAGAACUCCAGGAGCCAGUAAUCCGUCCUUUGGGAUAUCCAUCAGGACCUAGCUCUGGGUGCAGUCAUAUUCUACAUGAGCUUCCUCAGCCACUUCUACUGUGUUUAUGCCACAUCUACUUCACAAUCAGCCAGCACCUAACCUGA
This 1095-nucleotide long non-coding RNA is filed under the name Vulpes vulpes (red fox). RNAcentral describes it as "lncRNA (ENSVVUG00000015053.1)". Lineage: Eukaryota; Metazoa; Chordata; Mammalia; Carnivora; Canidae. The record is from RNAcentral.